RNAcentral lists this unclassified non-coding RNA (251 nucleotides) under plant metagenome. Its description in RNAcentral is "partial contains small subunit ribosomal RNA, internal transcribed spacer 1, and 5.8S ribosomal RNA". The stretch from base 1 to 54 matches the Rfam family "Eukaryotic small subunit ribosomal RNA", at positions 1778 to 1831 of the family's 1831-position model. The record is from RNAcentral.
GGAAGCAAAAGUCGUAACAAGGUCUCCGUAGGUGAACCUGCGGAGGGAUCAUUACAGAGUUCAUGCCCUAACGGGUAGAUCUCCCACCCUAUGUUAUCAUCACUUUGUUGCUUUGGCGGGCCGUCAGGCCUCGGCUUGGCUACCGGCUCUCGCUGGUAAGCGCCCGCCAGAGAACCCCAAACCCUGAAUAUCAGUGUCGUCUGAGUACUAUAUAAUAGUUAAAACUUUCAACAACGGAUCUCUUGGUUCUG